RNAcentral lists this ribosomal RNA (173 nucleotides) under uncultured bacterium. Its description in RNAcentral is "partial 16S rRNA". It matches the Rfam family "Bacterial small subunit ribosomal RNA", at positions 335 to 524 of the family's 1533-position model. The record is from RNAcentral.
GGGCCUACGGGAGGCAGCAGUAGGGAAUAUUGCCCAAUGGACGAAAGUCUGAGGCAGCAACGCCGCGUGUGCGAUGAAGGCCUUCGGGUUGUAAAGCACUUUUACGUGGGAAGAGGAAGGACGGUACCACGUGAAUAAGGAUCGGCCAACUACGUGCCAGCAGCCGCGGUAAU